This 499-nucleotide ribosomal RNA is filed under the name uncultured bacterium. RNAcentral's name for it is "bacterial SSU rRNA". It matches the Rfam family "Bacterial small subunit ribosomal RNA", at positions 11 to 506 of the family's 1533-position model. The record is from RNAcentral.
GUUUUGAUCAUGGCUCAGAUUGAACGCUGGCGGCAUGCUUUACACAUGCAAGUCGAACGGCAGCGCGGGGCAACCUGGCGGCGAGUGGCGAACGGGUGAGUAAUAUAUCGGAACGUACCCAAGAGUGGGGGAUAACGCAGCGAAAGUUGCGCUAAUACCGCAUACGAUCUAAGGAUGAAAGCAGGGGACCGCAAGGCCUUGUGCUCCUGGAGCGGCCGAUAUCUGAUUAGCUAGUUGGUAGGGUAAAGGCCUACCAAGGCUACGAUCAGUAGCUGGUCUGAGAGGACGACCAGCCACACUGGAACUGAGACACGGUCCAGACUCCUACGGGAGGCAGCAGUGGGGAAUUUUGGACAAUGGGCGCAAGCCUGAUCCAGCAAUGCCGCGUGAGUGAAGAAGGCCUUCGGGUUGUAAAGCUCUUUUGUCAGGGAAGAAACGGUGGGGGCUAAUAUCCCUCACUAAUGACGGUACCUAAGAAAUAAGCACCGGCUAACUAAAU